GAUGAACGCUGGCGGCGUGCCUAAUACAUGCAAGUCGAGCGAACAGAUAAGGAGCUUGCUCCUUUGACGUUAGCGGCGGACGGGUGAGUAACACGUGGGUAACCUACCUAUAAGACUGGAAUAACUCCGGGAAACCGGGGCUAAUGCCGGAUAACAUUUAGAACCGCAUGGUUCUAAAGUGAAAGAUGGUUUUGCUAUCACUUAUAGAUGGACCCGCGCCGUAUUAGCUAGCUGGUAAGGUAACGGCUUACCAAGGCAACGAUACGUAGCCGACCUGAGAGGGUGAUCGGCCACACUGGAACUGAGACGCGGUCCAGACUCCUACGGGAGGCAGCAGUAGGGAAUCUUCCGCAAUGGGCGAAAGCCUGACGGAGCAACGCCGCGUGAGUGAUGAAGGUCUUCGGAUCGUAAAACUCUGUUAUUAGGGAAGAACAAAUGUGUAAGUAACUGUGCACGUCUUGACGGUACCUAAUCAGAAAGCCACGGCUAACUACGUG
This 497-nucleotide ribosomal RNA is filed under the name uncultured bacterium. RNAcentral's name for it is "partial 16S ribosomal RNA". It matches the Rfam family "Bacterial small subunit ribosomal RNA", at positions 28 to 507 of the family's 1533-position model. The record is from RNAcentral.